UACGUAGGGAGCAAGCGUUGUUCGGAUUUACUGGGCGUAAAGGGCGCGUAGGCGGCAGAUCAAGUCAGCUGUGAAAUCUCCGAGCUUAACUCGGAACUGUCAGCUGAUACUGUUUUGCUAGAGUGCGGAAGGGGCAAUCGGAAUUCUUGGUGUAGCGGUGAAAUGCGUAGAUAUCAAGAGGAACACCUGAGGUGAAGACGGGUUGCUGGGCCGACACUGACGCUGAGACGCGAAAGCGUGGGGAGCGAACAGG
RNAcentral lists this ribosomal RNA (253 nucleotides) under uncultured bacterium. RNAcentral's name for it is "partial 16S ribosomal RNA". It matches the Rfam family "Bacterial small subunit ribosomal RNA", at positions 524 to 776 of the family's 1533-position model. The record is from RNAcentral.